RNAcentral lists this ribosomal RNA (995 nucleotides) under uncultured spirochete. RNAcentral describes it as "bacterial SSU rRNA". It matches the Rfam family "Bacterial small subunit ribosomal RNA", at positions 509 to 1504 of the family's 1533-position model. Lineage: Bacteria; Pseudomonadati; Spirochaetota; Spirochaetia; Spirochaetales. The record is from RNAcentral.
CAGCCGCCGCGGUAAUACGUAAGGGGCAAGCGUUGUUCGGAUUUAUUGGGCGUAAAGGGCGUGUAGGCGGUUAUGUGUGUCUGGUGUGAAAUGUCCCGGCUCAACCGGGAAGGCGCGCUGGAAACUGCGUAACUAGAGUGAUGGAGGGGGAACUGGAAUUCCUGGUGUAGGGGUGAAAUCUGUAGAGAUCAGGAAGAACACCGGAGGCGAAGGCGAGUUCCUGGCCAUAUACUGACGCUGAGGCGCGAAAGCGUGGGGAGCGAACAGGAUUAGAUACCCUGGUAGUCCACGCUGUAAACGAUGUGCACUAGGUGUUGGUCCGUUGAGGAUCAGUGCCGUAGCUAACGCGUUAAGUGCACCGCCUGGGGAGUAUGCUCGCAAGGGUGAAACUCAAAGGAAUUGACGGGGGCCCGCACAAGCGGUGGAGCAUGUGGUUUAAUUCGAUGAUACGCGAGAAACCUUACCAGGGCUUGACAUAAGCAUGACGGUUGUAGAGAUACAGCUUCUCUUCGGAGCGUGCUUACAGGUGCUGCAUGGCUGUCGUCAGCUCGUGCUGUGAAGUGUUGGGUUAAGUCCCGCAACGAGCGCAACCCUUGCUGUCAGUUGCCAACAGGUAAUGCUGGGGACUCUGACGGUACUGCCGGUGACAAACCGGAGGAAGGUGGGGACGACGUCAAGUCAUCAUGGCCCUUAUGUCCUGGGCUACACACGUGCUACAAUGGUCGGUACAGAGCGGCGCAAAACCGCGAGGUGGAGCAAAUCGCAGAAAACCGGUCUCAGUUCGGAUUGAAGUCUGAAACCCGACCUCAUGAAGGUGGAAUCGCUAGUAAUCGCGCAUCAGCAUGGCGCGGUGAAUAUGUUCCCGGGCCUUGUACACACCGCCCGUCACACCACCCGAGUUGGGGGUACCCGAAGUCGCUCGUCUAACCAGUAAUGGGGGACGGUGCCGAAGGUAUGCCUGGUAAGGGGGGUGAAGUCGUAACAAGGUAGCCGUA